UCCCCCCCCCCCCCCCCCCAUUUCCCAAUCAUACACCCCUUUACCCCUCCACACACAAUAUUCAAGAGUAAGGAUUGUAUUUUGAGCUAUGCAGUCACCUCUAUAUACACUAUGCAGAUGCAUGUAAAUCAGGACAGAAAUAUUAAAAAAAAAUAAAAUUUAAGUAUGUUAUAGUAGAUGUUUGAUUUUUAGUAUACGGUUUGUUUUUUUCCAGUUCCAAGAUAGCAAAUCCCCCCCCCCCCCCCCCCCCCCCCCCCCCCCGCCAAAAACAGGAGUACUUCCCAGGACAGGGGAGGGACUUCAGGUGGAAAAUGUCAGGGGUUAGGGGUGUGGGACCUGUGGUCCCAAAAUGGCAACCAGGGGCAGGGCUACACAUGUGGCCCUCAACAGCUCACCUCAACGUGUUAAGCAGCCCUCCAGCCGAAAUAAUUGCCUACCCCGGCCCUAAAGGAAUAAAAUCUAAGAGCAGAAGGAAUUUUCUGCAUUCAAGCUUAAAACAUAAUCAGGCAUGGAAAGAAGCAAACUAGGACUCUCUGUGUUGGAUCUAGAGACAACCUGAGAGGGACUGCAUUAUGGUGCAGAGUAGGAGCAUCUUAGAUGAGGCUGUACUUCCCUUUCCAUUGUAAGGCCUAUUUUGUUUCUGCCUCCCUCACAGCUUACGCAUGUAUAUCAACUCUACCAAAAAUUAAUCAGGCUGCCUUGCUACUGGUGUUGUGGAUUCCCUAGAAAAUUUGAGUUUCCACAGUUUGAGGCCAGUUAGGCAGGGAGUUUGCAAGAGACAGGAGCUAAAUUAAAGAAUACAUUGACUGCUGGGAGAUUCAUUGGUUUGAUCUCCCCCCUCAUUGCCAAGUGCUUUAAGAGAUACCUAACACUUCUGUUUUUUUGCUUCAUAGCUCAAGAACAGCUUGACCUAGAAACUCCUCAUUUGUUUUGCUGAGCUUGCCUUGUACAGAAGGAGGGACUUUCAGCAUCGUCAGGGGCUAAUGCUCUGGGCCCAGUUCCAGUGCCCUUCAUGUGAAGCGAGGUACCUAACAAAUGGUCCCAUUGACUUGCAAGGGACUAAUGUGAUAGAAUGAUAUUGCUUGGUCUGAGAAAGGGGAGGAGCAGCUGUGCAUUAGCAAAGCAGAGAAGCAAGCACAGUAGGAUGCUUAACUGGUCAUGUGGCACAUGUGGAGUCUGGUAGAGUUGCUAUGCUGUAGUGUAAGUCUUCCAUAGUAGCUAUUCUGUGAGGUGUACUUUACAGGGUCCCACAAUGCAUCUCUUCUACAGCCUGCCAUGUGGCUAAUGUGCCACCUGGUCCUUAUGCUAUGUGUAGCCAUGGAUAGCCACUUUAAUAUUUUUAACAAGAUUCUGUUUUUGUUCUAGCUAUUGAAUGAGACUUAUCUGGUUAAAACCAUAUCACAGGUGUUCAGGAAAGACAUUCCCUUUUUAGAUUACCAUAACUUGUGUCAGGCUCUUAGGCAGUUUUACAAAACUUUAUAUAAACAGCUAAGGAAAUACAUAGGCCAAAACAAAACAUCCACACAAAAAAAAAAUUAGCUAAUGGGGCUUUAGACUUAUAAAUAGCCAUUGUUUGACACCCUGAAAAAGACUAUUGUAGAUUUCUCAAAAGCCAGCUACAGGCCAGGAGAUCCACAGCGAAGAUUAUACUUAAGGAAAAAUAACAGAGCUCAGGAAGUGUAGCAGUGCAAUUGAAUCAGAUGGGAAUGACGAGCACAAUUAAGAAUUCAGGCCGUUCUCUAAUGUGGAGUAGCACUCAAAAUGGAAAGGAAUUCAGGCAAAUGUGGCCACCUGUGGACCCCCAUGGGGAAGAGCAGAGGUGGUUACUUUGCAAGAUCUGGACUCCUUUAAUAGCAUAGGAUUCAAAUUGGCCAGUUUCUUGGUGGUGUAAGUACACCACUAACUUUGCAUGUGACAUCUAUUUUCUCUUCAGUUCUGACUCCUGCAGCUUGAACUCAGCUGUUCCAAUCCCCCUGUUUUCGGUUAUGUUCUCAGUUUUUUACAAUAAACGUUAAUAGCUUACAUGUAUCUGGUGCUUGUCAUGCAAAGAAGUUAAGAGUGGUUAAACCAUAAGAAAGGCCACUGGCCCCAUGUUUUCUUAUAGCUGAUGUGUUCAUCCUAUCUUAAGGAACAGACUGAACAUGACUCUGCAAUUCAUGAAGGCAAGACUUGCCUUCAUAAACACCCAGGGCCAGAUGCAGAAAAGUAUUUAGGCACCUCAGUAUCUUUUUGGAUCCAGUUAAUGCCAAGAACAGAAGUUAAUAUAAAGUAAAAAGCUGGCUGUUAUCAUUUAGUUCCAAGCCACCCACUCAGGGGAAGACUGAGGACUCCAUUCUGCUUUAUCUUGCCUCUUUGUGUUUAUGCUUCACCCCCAUGCAAUAUGAAUUCACAGUGGGCUGAAAUGCUGCCAUUUCUCACCCACUUUGUACAGGGAUGGAUGAUUGCUUAGAGCAAGUGGCAGAGCAUUGGGACCAGUGUAAAUAACUCAGGUCCUUCCAUUAAAAAUGCCCUACUCGAGGUGUGCUAAUGAAGGAAGGGACUGUAAGGAAAGGAGCUCUCUAACAGGGAAGGAGACCGGGAGUGAGAUGAGCAGCUGAGAGAGCAGUAUCCACACAAGAUGGUGAACAGUUUCUGGGAUAUCUCGGUGUUUGAGAGAUGGAUCAAAAGGGUUGUACAUAGCCUGUCCUUCCCUCACAUGUUCCCAGUUAUGUGAAACCUCAGCCUUUGCAGCUUGCUUUAAGAGCAGUUAACAAGAAUCAGGUGGUGCCCCAGAGUAACAGGUUCAUAGCACAAGUUGGGUGAGCAGUAGUUUUCCAACAUGACAUUCCAGAAGCCACCAAACCUUUAGGAAGGAUGGUGUUACCCAUAAGCCACCUUCACUGCAAGGAGAGAAGAACACAACCUAAAGCUUUACUUGGAGAAGGGGUGACACCAUCAAUUAGAUUCUGGUGAGUAUUCAUUUCUCUGGCUGCAAUCUCAGUAAUGCAACCAAUAACACGAACACCUACCUGAAUGUUCUGGUAGAGAUCUAGGUUGCUAAACUGGAUUCUUAACAUAGUAUGCAAGCACUUCCAUGGAUGAUGGAGUUAACAUUAACAUUCAAUUACUCAAUAACUAAAAGAUGGGAGCAAGUUCAGGUCAUGUCUGUUUGCUUGUAUGAAAGGAUCACUUUAUGCAGAGCUCCUUUUUACCUGUUCAGUUUGAACACUUAUUGAAUGUAAGUAUCCAGUACAGCAAACCCCACAGAUCAGAUGUGUGUAUGAAAGCAAAAUCUCCAUUUCAGAAAGGAAACACCAAGUUCUGUUUAGCAUUUCAGCAUUGAGGCAGAUCAACCCCUUUAUAAGUGGCUCCAGCUGGCGCUGUCAUGCACUGCAACAUUCCUUACCUUCAGUGAAGUGGUGUGCAGAAAAGUAAGAAAUGCUGUCCUGUCUUUGAAAAAAAAAUCAGAGUAGCAGCUCCUAACCUGACCCUUAAAACAGAAUUGUAGCUGAGGAAUCUACACGAGGGUUGAGUACAUCAGCACCAAAAGUCAAUAGCUUUUGGAAAUGAUUUUUUGAACCAGGUAGCUGAAUAAGUAAUUAAAAAAAAAAAAAAGAGCAAACUGAAUUCUACUGUGUGCUGUCACCAUAUCUGUUCUUCCUUACUGAUUCCAUCGUUAGUUUGAUCAAGGGUUCUCAGUUGCCACACAGAAAAAUAUCCAGAGUAUUUUCCCAGGGAGACUUUUUGAGAUCUGAUGUUUAAAAAUAAUAAAAAGGUGAAGAGGGAAAAGAAUAUAACAUAAACGAGAGCAGGAUAGCAAUGCAGAAUAGUUUACUUCUAGCUAAAUAUCUUACGGGAAUAAAAAGGGGUUUAUAAGUAUCUGGGAAAGAAGAAAAGCAGCCCUACUAAUAAUAAGAGAGAGAGAUUUUGUGUGUGUGUGUGUGUGUGUGUGUGUGAAUCAAGGUUCCAAGAUAUUUGAGAUACUAAUGUAUUUUUAUCUGUGUUUAACGAACAAAUAAAGCAGAAGUCUGGAGAACUAGGAAGUAAUUAAGAUUUAUUAAAUAGCUUUUGUCUGUCCUUGAACUUUACCGUCCUCUUCUGAGUCUCUUAAAAAAACACUGAGCACCCAUGCUAAGAACUCUUAGAUAUAUUUAUGCAUGCAAGCAUCCUUAGUGAACUCUCUGUGAUCGUUCACCUGUAUAAAGUUACUCCAUGUUUGCAGAAUCAGAGACAUAGUUAGCAUUUAAUUAAAAAGAACCCAGAUAAGAUACCUUGGCAAAAGUUAACAAAUACAAUAUGCAGCAGAUUGGCUGCAAUGCAUUUGAGCUAAUGCCCUUAACUACCAGAUAAGGGUUUUUGAUAAGUCACUGAGGUCUUGAAGCCAAGUCCAGCAAAUGAAUCUAUCCAGGCAUAUUCCUAAACCUUACAACCACAUGUCAGUGGGACUCCAAGCAGGUGUGUUGCUAGUUGUAGGCUUGGAUCAUCAGAGAAGUGCAAAAGAACUGGAUUAAAGCAAACACAGCUUUGUUCUCUGACAAAGAAAAGGAAAUUGAAACUGGCUAAUCAAUCAUUACAAUUUUUAUUCUCAGUAAAACUAUGAAACUACUAUUAACUAAAGUAUUGUUAUGGCAGGCCUCACCAGGUAUUGCUCCCAAGUUUUUUUCUAAGUGUACAAGCAAAUAGUUAUUUUGGGAAGACAUACUGUGUUGUUAAUUAUAUUGUGCAAGAUUCAUGUAGAGGCAGCAGUCUUGGGACAGAUAGCUGUGCAAGGCAUAGAACUGUUUUUGCUUUGCUCUUGUCUCUGAUUGAAAUAAUUUCUUGAGGCAGACUUGCCCCUUGGGAUCCAGGCACUGGGUUUUGACUGGGAGUCUGGGAGGAAGGACGUGAUUGAACCUUAGUCACAUUCAAGAAUGGUGUAUGUAUGUAGAUCUGGCAAACCUUACUUGUACACAUGGUACAGGUAGUAAUAUGUAUAGGUUGCAUAACACUUUACUAAGUAGAAAGGAAGAUGCAUUUAAAUCUACCCAAAUUCCAUAUCACCAAUUUCUCCUUUACUGGAAACCAACCUAUAUGGCCCAGCCACCGCUGCUGCUCAGUAGAAGGUAAUACUCCUGCAGGAAGAAAGGACAACAUCAAAACAGGUGGAGGAAAUGGUUAAUGCAGAACAUACCAUAGCAGACAAACUUGAUCCUUUGUGUUUUAUAUGUAUUGAGCAAAAAGAUAGUAACAAUUUUAAUAUGUGUUGGCAAUUAAGUAUUAAGUGUCUCAAAAUACUUGAAAAAUUAAAACAGGCAAGGCUGUAAACAGUGUCAUGUGAAUUGAGAACUGUUUCAAUAACCCUAAAAAGCCAUGAUAAAUGACUACUGAACAUUACAUAGGGUACCAUGGUCUAAGUGAGUGCCAGAGAGACAGGCGUUAAAUCUACCUUCUUAAUCUUUGCUAACGAUUUAGGAGAGUGUAAACAGCAUGUUAAUGAAGUCAUGUAAAAUAAAUCCUCCAAGUUGUAGCAGUGGCCAAAAGGCAGCACAAUUCAAGUGCACUAAGUUGAAGUAAUCAAAAAAAAAAAAUCGUGUAUAGUUUUCAGUAGGAAAGUACAGUUGCACUGAAAUCCCAUUGUUAUGGUGGAAUGAGACAAUCUGGAUAGAGCUUUUGACAGGAGAAUGUUUAAAAUGAAUUAUUUUUAUUGUUUUAUUAUGCUUAUUUCUUACUGUAUUUUAACAUGGAACAAAACACUGGAAUGUUUCCAAAUCAAAACUGUCCAGAAUUUCCAUUGCCCCAAAACAGUCAAAAUGUUGCCUCUUCAUUCCAAUUUGGGAUGAAAACAGAUUUUAGAAUGUUUUCUUCCCCAUAGAUUCGAAUUCAUGGUUUCCAACCCAGUGAAAGGUAAAGGAUGAAGCUUAAGGGACACUGUUAACAAAUUAAAGCUGAACCUCUGUCUUCAGUCACCAUGCAGUUCUGCUUUUAGGCUGGCACCCUUAGAAUGGAAGGGAGUUUGAUACAGGGCUUCCUUUUGAGCGGCUUGCACAGGAGUUCAGAAUCAGGAUCAGGAUAGUCAAACUCAGUGCUUCAGAGGUUAAGUUGCCCCUUGUACUUCUGACACAAUGCACAAGAGUUACUGGCUAGUAAAGAGAGAGCGGACAAGAAUAUGCAGCUCGUCUAUCUGGAGUGAUAGUAACUAACGAGCAGCUCUGGAAUCUCAACAUCACAUGGGCAUGUGCCUACAUGCAUACAUGUGCACUUACAACUGCAAGUUCUGUCUCCCCCUUACCUUGGUUCAGUUAUGAUCUGGCAUGUGCACUUGGAAUUUGCAAAGAUGCUUUAAAGCUACAGUGGGCAUCACCCAUGCUCAGCAGCUACAAAACUAACUGUCUCUCUGAACUGAUCUUGAAUAGGAGCUCUUCUUAGAGGAGUCAGUUUUUACUUCAGUGGAAAAAGACCAGGUGGUAUAGUUCAGUGGAUACUCAUUUGGGAGCUGGAGAUGUAAAAAUGGAUAAGAAACAGUAAACUGAUUUUACCUUUGCAUAACUAACCAAUUGCAGGGGGGAAAUAAUCUGGUAUACACAUAUUCAAUGACAUCUAGAAAGGAGAGAUCUCUGAGUGUGGGCGGUCAACACAUUAGGAGCUGCCAGUAUGAUAGGGCAGCAAAAGUCAUCACUUGUCUUCCAUCCAGAAUCUUAGAAGGAAUAUGAUAUACUGAAACCAGACAUGGAAGAGCAAGUGAGUCCCCAGCAUAUGCUGAAGAACGGUAAUCAGAGUUCCCAGGAAAUGGACCCUUGAGAGCUGUGUGCUAAGGAAGCUGUUUGUAGCCCACAAUUUCAGUAACAUCAUUGGUCUUACAAACUCUGCAGCAAUAUUACAUAUUCUCAAGUGCUAGUAGAUGUCUCUGUUUACGUUAGGUAACUGCACAUAUUCACAUAUACAACAAUAACUCUCUUGUGUACAACUCCCAUAACACCCUCUUGAGUCCCCUUGAAGUUAAAUCCCCUUCACUGAGUCCUCUUCUAGCGUAUAAAUUUUAACAAGCACAGGCAUGUUGUCAUCUAUUAAAAAAGCACUGUCUACUUAAAAAGCCAUACUUCUCUUCAAAUAUUUAAUCUGCUAUUACAAGUAAUACUUGAUAGCACCAUACAUUAGAAAGAUUAUAGGAAAGUAGCACACAUCACAUCCAUGUGACAUUUUACAUGGUUUUCUGUUGAAGAGGUCAGACCCACUGUUGUGUGUCUUGCUUUUUAGGUAAAAUAUAUAUUGUGGCAGAAGCUAUCCAGGGACAAGCUAGGUCUGUAUCAUAUUUGCUACCUACAUAGGCAGCUGCUCUAGCUGGCUGCUAAACUUUAGAAAACACUGGGUGAAUCUACACAAGACACUUCACUACACAUUAGACUAACGUGCAUUAAAGCAUCACCAUCUACACGUGCAGCAAUUACUGCACAGUAUAUUAGUCUAAUGUGCCAUUUUCUAGUACCUGUGAAAGGUACUAGACCCGUCCUGAUUUCCACGUCGCUGGGAGAGCUGUUCCAGCUGCUGGGCAGCUGCCUCCCUGUCCUAUGGAGAUUGGGGAGGGUCCGGAUCUCCACAUGGCUGGCAGGCAGUGUCCUGCUGAGCCAGGACAGCUCUCCCUGCCCCAUGGAGGUUGGGAUAGGUCCUGAUCUCCACGUGGCUGGAAGGCAACAUCCUGCCAAGCUGGGACAGCUCUCUCCUGCUUAGCAGAGAUUAGGACCUGCCCCUGUUGCCCCCUGCCAGCCUGGAGCUGGCACCCAGGGGAGCCUGGAGCUCCCCCUGGCUACUGCAGGGGGGCAAAGCAGGGCAGGAGCAGCCCUAGACUGAACUCCUGUUGAUAUCAAAUUUGCUCUCGACAGAUACACGUGUUCAGAUGCAUAUGGGAGCAGUUUAAUGCGCCUGCAUUUUCUGCUCAGAAAAUUCAGGUACACUAACUGUAUGUGUAGAUGUGUCUACUGAACACCACUAGAGAGUUCAUACACUAUUUAAGAAAGCUACACAAUUCCUAUAUAUUACAUGCUCCUUCAAAUGUCAAAAGGACAUUUGAAAGGUUACAAAUGCAUUACUAUCACUCACUACACAGCCGCAAAAAAGAGGCUGCUCCUCAGUUGGACAGAGAUGUUAGUGCAUUCAGGAGGGCAGGCAUAUGUUAUUUGUUUAUUAAAAAUGGGUAGAACGCUAUACCUUUGCACUGUGUUAUCCAGAGAUGAGAAUCACAUUGCUAUCCCUGCCCUGAAAAUGCACUAUCUAAACAUAGAACAAGAAGACGAACACAAGGAAAAUGGGAAUGGGAUGGGUAGGGAUUGGAACAAGCAAUAAUAAUACGAGUUCUAUUAAUAUCACUGAAGCUCCAAGUUUAUAUACUCUGAGUCAUCAUGCCUUGAUUAAAGAGUUUCCCUAGGAAAACAUUCAUUUAUAGGAUGAUGUUUAGGGAAGCUCUGAUGUUUUGAGGAGCCUGGAGUGUAGUGCUGUAUUUCCACCCCAAGUGUGAAAACUUCAGGAGUUAACACCCCUCAAAUUUAAAAAUUACAAAAUGUAAAGUAUUAAUAACAAGGAUCUUCAGUGUUGGGUUCUUUCUACUUGUGUUCUGGCUUCUGAGCCUUUUGGGUUCUCUUGGGUCACAUUUUCAAGCUUUUCUCCAAAUUAAGAAAAAUAAAUAUGGCUAAAAAGUUA
Long non-coding RNA from Alligator mississippiensis (American alligator), 8649 nucleotides. RefSeq lists it as uncharacterized. NCBI's taxonomy places the organism in Eukaryota, Metazoa, Chordata, Crocodylia, Alligatoridae. The transcript has 2 exons. The record is from RefSeq and is a predicted model, not a curated record.